RNAcentral lists this ribosomal RNA (777 nucleotides) under uncultured Neocallimastigales. Its description in RNAcentral is "partial large subunit ribosomal RNA". It matches the Rfam family "Eukaryotic large subunit ribosomal RNA", at positions 24 to 628 of the family's 3401-position model. Lineage: Eukaryota; Fungi; Neocallimastigomycota; Neocallimastigomycetes; Neocallimastigales. The record is from RNAcentral.
GUAGUCUCGCACAGAUGCAUAUCAAUAAGCGGAGGAAAAGAAACUAACAAGGAUUCCCCUAGUAACGGCGAGUGAAGCGGGAAGAGCUCAAAUUUGAAAUCUUAAAGGGUUUCCCUUUACGAAUUGUAGUUUAAAGAAGUGUUUUCUGUUGAGGUUUUGGUAAAAGUUCCUUGGAAUAGGACAUCAUAGAGGGUGAGAAUCCCGUAUUUGGUUAUUCAUUCUAGCUUUGUGAUACACUUUCAAAGAGUCGGAUUGUUUGGGAAUGCAGUCCAAAAUGGGUGGUAAAUUUCAUCUAAAGCUAAAUAUUGGCGAGAGACCGAUAGCGAACAAGUACCGUGAGGGAAAGAUGAAAAGAACUUUGAAAAGAGAGUUAAACAGUACGUGAAAUUGUCCAAAAGGGAAGCGUUUGACACCAGUGUUGUUUUUCCGAAAAUCAAUUACGAAUGGCUUGAUUUUGUGUUGUAUUGACCUUAUCAGCUUUCUGCACUUUUUUCGAGUCUUUCUUAAUGCACUUUUCGGUUAACAAGUCAACAUCAAUUUCUUUUGUUGUAAAAGAGUAUUCGGAAGGUGGCUUUCUUUUCGGAGAAAGUGUUCAUAGCCCUAUACUUCUACAAUCGGAGAGAUUGAGGUCUGCAGCGUAGAUCCUUCGGGGUUAGAUACACUUUGUGCUAAGUUGUAGCUUUUCAUAGACAACUUGUUGACUAUGUUUAGUCAUGCGGCCUUACUCGCUUAUGCUAUUUUACCUACGCUUAGGAUGUUGAACUCUAUCACACACAG